RNAcentral lists this transfer RNA (76 nucleotides) under Erinaceus europaeus (western European hedgehog). RNAcentral's name for it is "tRNA-Gly". Lineage: Eukaryota; Metazoa; Chordata; Mammalia; Eulipotyphla; Erinaceidae. The record is from RNAcentral.
UACCCUUUUAGUAUGCACACCAUUGUACAAUUGACUUCCAAUCAAUUAGACUCGAUAUUUUUUCGAGAAAGGGUAA